GCACAAGCCAUUUCUUUCUGACUUCUCCGGCUAACUCUGGAUGUAGCUCAGUGGUGGAGCACUCGCCUGAAUUAGGAUUCAGAAGAUUUGUAACUGGCAUCACAGUAUUUUCUUCACUGAACCUUCAUGAACAUGAAUGACUGCACAGUUUAUGCUACAGGCACAAAAAGUAAAGAAAGACUUUGGUCCGAGGUUUUCCACGGCACAUGGUAGUACCGCUUCGUCCCCACGUUUGAUCGUGAUGUUGGCUGGCGUGUCGAGAAAUCCAGGCAACAUGUAUCUGAGUGGACGUGUUCCAGCAGCUGAAAGGAAAACAAUAAAAUCAUUUUAAAAAUUA
This 337-nucleotide long non-coding RNA is filed under the name Gigantopelta aegis. Its description in RNAcentral is "uncharacterized LOC121380687, transcript variant X2". The record is from RNAcentral. Lineage: Eukaryota; Metazoa; Mollusca; Gastropoda; Neomphalida; Peltospiridae.